CAUAAAUUUGGAUUUAAAAUAUAUUUAUGUUCAGUUUUUAAAAAAGUAAUGUAUAUAUAUAUAUAUAUUAAUCUUAUAUUUAUAUUUCAUGUAAAAGUAUAUAUCCGUAUAUACCCCGUUUAGGCGUCCGCCUAUAUAGCUAAGUGCUAUACAGUCAUAUAUAACGCGUAAUGAACGCCUAGCGCGUUUUAGAACACUGUGUAAUUGUGUGUUUCUAUGGAGUCCAUUGAUGACCUCUCUUCCCUUUUAUAUUUGUUUUCUUUCCUUCGAAUAUUUCAUCAUGUAAAGUCUUCCUCCUCGCUUAAUUCCCCAUUCGUAGUUAUUAAUUGGUGAAGUAACCUAAAUAGUGAAUAUGAACGUUGAAUCUUACAAUACUAAAAGGAGGAUAUGAGCUCCAUUGAACCUAUCCACAUAGGAUCAGAAAUUCAAGCCAAUCAUAUUGUUUUAAGAUGCCAUGUCAGCUUAGUAAAAAAAAUCUAACUUUACGAUGGGGAUUCCUUCUUCUUCUUCGACGCCUUUCCAGUGUCUCUAUCCAACUUCUCAGCGGUUCCAAGUUUUCUUCCAUGAUCUGCCAUUAAUUUGUCCUAUUAUUGCUUUUUCAAAACAGUAGUAUUAAUAUCACGAAACUCUCUUCGUCUUCUGCUUUCUCACUCAAUAGACAAUCUUACUAAAUAAAGCUGCUACCUUUUUUUCCUCUGAUUUAUGCGUUUGUGCUAUAGAAAACCUUCGUCAUGGUCUUCAUAUUGUUUAAUGGGCUACAUUUUAAUCUGUUCAUAUCGUUUCCUUAGGCCCACUAAUCAGAAACCUAAGCAGAGAAAGAGUGUCCGAUGAAGUUUGUCGUGUCCAAUCGAUCUCCAAAACAGCCGCCGUUACGCAUCCACUCCACUUCAGCGUGACGAGGUAACGUUUCGUAGUUAAGGCAUUCAAUCAAGGAUUUCACUACAUGCUCUUGAAUCUAUCUUCACUGCUCUCAUAAGUAUUCUGAUUGAGUAUAUAUAUUCCUCCUGAGAGUCCUCCUCACCAAAUAACUCUAUUCUAUAAUAUUAUUGAUCCCGGCUAAUUCCCAAUUUCAUUUUCUUAGCUGAAAGCUUAUCACUCUCUUGGAGUUAUGCAUAAAGAUCUGAAGCAUGAAAAUUUUCUUUUCCCUUUUUCUCAUGAAGAUGCUUUUGUUAAAUCUACAGACCAAACACAAGGUAAUAUAUUAUACGUAUGCUUCUCCUUCUCGGAUCGGAUUAUGUCAUAGCAAGGUUUUGUUUACGCUAACUUUUUGUUAGAUUCAUUCAUGUUCGCAAUGUAGAUUCUCUGGUUAUGGAGAUUCAUUCAAAUUCAAAGUUUUGGGGGCAAAUUCGUCUCUCCCAGCCUGAAUGGAACGAGAGCUUAAGAGUUGGGCAUUGUACUUCAUGAGGAGCUAUAUUCUUCACCAAGUACACAAGGUGAGUGUGGGAAGUUAAUACGUAUAUCUCUGUUCUGCUAUGGUUUUAGUCAUUGUUUGCUUUGAUUAUCUAAAAAUAUAAAACUGUAUUGUAACCCUGAAUAAUUAGUACACUGUUAUUCUUUUCAGUGAUUUCAGGCAGCAGCUGGAAAGCAUUCAGAAGAUGAUGGAACCAUUUCCAUUGAUCGGCUUCCUCACAGGUUUGCUUUACUAUUUCUUAACAUCCACAAGAUAUCAUUGAUCACUAACAACAAUGCAUGUGCUGACUUUCUUACACUCUUUUAUCGCCGGGGAAUUGGUUAAUUCAUUUGUAUGUUUUGCUUCCUUGACCUUGUGUUGGAGGGAGCUUUUAUAUAUUAUUCUAUGAUGUAAAGUUCAUAUUUUACUUAUGGUCCUUAUGUACCUUUUGAAGAAGCCUUUACCAUUUGUUUCAGAGCUUGAAUUUCAUGAAUUUGAGACGGAAUUUUCAAUAGCCAGUGAGGAAGAUAAGAAAAUGGGACGUCAAAAAGACAGACGUGAAUCACGAUCGACAUUGAAAGUGUGAAGAGCAGGGCCAGAGAUAGAGACAUGAUGAAAAGGAUAGUGAAUGCGACCGCCACAAUGGUAGAAAUUGUUAUAGACACCUUAGCAGAGAACAUAGUGAGAAAAGGAAAUGUGAGAGAGACUAUAUGGAUGAUAAUGAUCAUUACAAAAGUCGAGACCAUGACAGGAAGAGGUCUUUCGAUCGAAAAAGAGAGGAGAGGCACAGGCCAGGGUCACGCUCUGGCUCGAGCAGCCGCUCUUAACGUAGAAUAGUGGUGGACAGCAAGAUGGUUGGAGAUUGCAGGAGUCAUGUCUGCGCUAUCACCACAAUGCAUAAAACAUUAACUCUUGGAGCAUAGUUGUUACUGUUUGAGGAACUCAAGGUCAUGAAUAUGAGAGAAUCUGGUAAUGUUUUAAGCCGAAAAGAAGAAAAAGCCUAAAGGUGAUCUGAAACAGAACAAAUGAAUAUGCUUAUGUUUUGAAAUCUGCUAUAAAAACGAGUAUAGUUAGAAGCUUUGGCAGAUUCACUUUUUCUUCUCCUAUCUCUUAUUCGUUUUAUAACUUUUCUUGUGUGGCAACAUUUACUUUCUGUUCGCCUGAGGUUUGGUUUCUAAUAUAAUUCUGAUUCUUAUCAUAAUGAAAUAAUAUAAAACAUUUCAAAUUUGCAUAUUUGAAGAAAAUCACAGUGGACUAUAGACUCAUGAAAAUCACAGUGGACUAAACUUAUGGCUUAGUUUUGU
Long non-coding RNA from Brassica napus (rape), 2694 nucleotides. RefSeq lists it as uncharacterized. The transcript has 4 exons. NCBI's taxonomy places the organism in Eukaryota, Viridiplantae, Streptophyta, Magnoliopsida, Brassicales, Brassicaceae. The record is from RefSeq and is a predicted model, not a curated record.